This 73-nucleotide transfer RNA is filed under the name Profundicola chukchiensis. It matches the Rfam family "tRNA". Rfam says of the family: Transfer RNA (tRNA) molecules are approximately 80 nucleotides in length. Their secondary structure includes four short double-helical elements and three loops (D, anti-codon, and T loops). Lineage: Bacteria; Pseudomonadati; Bacteroidota; Flavobacteriia; Flavobacteriales; Weeksellaceae. The record is from Rfam by way of RNAcentral.
GCGGGAGUAGCUCAAUUGGUAGAGUUUCAGCCUUCCAAGCUGACUGUUGCGGGUUCGAAUCCCGUCUCCCGCU